Molecule: long non-coding RNA, 588 nt
Organism: Meleagris gallopavo (turkey)
Lineage: Eukaryota; Metazoa; Chordata; Aves; Galliformes; Phasianidae
Source: RefSeq, a predicted model, not a curated record
AUGUGUGGGGGUGGGUUUUUUUUAUAUGUAUGUUCCAUUUUGUUUUUCAGCCUCUCCACCUUGCUCCCUGCCCUCCUGUGGUACUACAGUGUGCUCAGCCUCUAACAAAGUACUGUUAGGAAAGGCUGAAAUCCCCCUUGUUCAGCACUGGAGUUAAGAUGGUUUCUGCCAGCCCGAGGAUCCCACCCUCUUCCAGAGAUACAGGACAUCGUGAAAAACUCUCUGUGCAGGGAAAGGUGUAACAUAUUGCCUGAACCAUCUGCAUUGCUGGUUGAUGAUGGCAUGUCAUGGACAAUACGGAUGGGAUAUGGAUAGUCUGUUUUACUGGUCCUGACCCUCUGCUCCGAGAGAAGGCCUAUAGAGCCACACAGAACCCCCCAGACCUCAUGGGACUCUGCACCAGCUGGAUUCUGCAGAUGUAUAUUUGCAGUAUUACAGUCAGCAACAGCACAAGCUUGGUAAGUAAAGUGCCCCACUCGUGUUCAUACGUGUUCUUUCAAAGUGAGAUUUCAGACAGGCAAGUGAAGAUAUACUUCAGUUUUAUUGUUGUUUAGGCAUGGAUAGAAACAUCAAUUCUUUUGCGCUCUU